RNAcentral lists this ribosomal RNA (497 nucleotides) under uncultured bacterium. RNAcentral describes it as "partial 16S ribosomal RNA". It matches the Rfam family "Bacterial small subunit ribosomal RNA", at positions 28 to 507 of the family's 1533-position model. The record is from RNAcentral.
GAUGAACGCUGGCGGCGUGCCUAAUACAUGCAAGUCGAGCGAACAGACGAGAAGCUUGCUCCUCUGACGUUAGCGGCGGACGGGUGAGUAACACGUGGAUAACCUACCUAUAAGACUUGGAUAACUUCGGGAAACCGGAGCUAAUACCGGAUAAUAUAUUGAACCGCAUGGUUCAAUAGUGAAAGACGGUUUUGCUGUCACUUAUAGAUGGAUCCGCGCCGCAUUAGCUAGUUGGUAAGGUAACGGCUUACCAAGGCAACGAUGCGUAGCCGACCUGAGAGGGUGAUCGGCCACACUGGAACUGAGACACGGUCCAGACUCCUACGGGAGGCAGCAGUAGGGAAUCUUCCGCAAUGGGCGAAAGCCUGACGGAGCAACGCCGCGUGAGUGAUGAAGGUAUUCGGAUCGUAAAACUCUGUUAUUAGGGAAGAACAAAUGUGUAAGUAACUAUGCACGUCUUGACGGUACCUAAUCAGAAAGCCACGGCUAACUACGUG